CACCCAUCAUCCAGCACUCACACACCCAUCAUCCAGCACCCACACACCCAUCAUCCAGCACUGACACACCCAUCAUCCAGCACCCACACACCCAUCAUCCAGCACCCACACACCCAUCAUCCAGCACUCACACACCCAUCAUCCAGCACCCACACACCCAUCAUCCAGCACCCACACACACAUCAUCCAGCACACACACACCCCAUCCAG
Non-coding RNA from Pelobates cultripes (western spadefoot toad), 210 nucleotides. NCBI's taxonomy places the organism in Eukaryota, Metazoa, Chordata, Amphibia, Anura, Pelobatidae. The record is from the annotation of a GenBank genome assembly.